GGAGCUGUGGUGUAGUGGUUUAACACACCGGCCUGUCAAGCCGGAGAUCGCGGGUUCGAGUCCCGUCAGCUCCGCCA
RNAcentral lists this transfer RNA (77 nucleotides) under Bacillota bacterium. Its description in RNAcentral is "tRNA-Asp". It matches the Rfam family "tRNA". From Rfam's summary of the family: Transfer RNA (tRNA) molecules are approximately 80 nucleotides in length. Lineage: Bacteria; Bacillati; Bacillota. RNAcentral also lists the same sequence under 2 other names. The record is from RNAcentral.